Molecule: non-coding RNA, 104 nt
Filed under: Candidatus Viadribacter manganicus
Lineage: Bacteria; Pseudomonadati; Pseudomonadota; Alphaproteobacteria; Hyphomonadales; Hyphomonadaceae
Also listed under: 1 other name
Description: Caulobacteraceae bacterium OTSz_A_272 SAM-I/IV (S-adenosyl methionine) riboswitch aptamer
Rfam family: SAM-I/IV (S-adenosyl methionine) riboswitch aptamer
About the family: It is found upstream of a number of genes which code for proteins involved in methionine or cysteine biosynthesis. It has been found mostly in the order Actinomycetales.
Source: Rfam by way of RNAcentral
GUGAUGCAUUUCGAGUGGACGUCUUGCGUCCAGCCAACCUGCCUUACCGGGCAAGGUGGAGUCCCCACGGGGAGAUGCGGCCUUCGGCAACGAAACGGCGCCUG